CUAACCCUGGGGGAGACAUACAUUCUGAAUGUGAAUGACAUACAGGACACGUGUCAGAAGAAUGCAGCAGCAGCUCUGGUGGUGGGGCGCAGGGACAUGGCUAAGGUGUGGGCCCUGGCCUCGGCUGCCACCAGUCUAGAACUCAGUCCUGAUUCUGACUCGGACCCUGAUGCAGACGCUCCCUGGGCCAGACACCCGUUUGGCCGCCACCUGCUGGAGACUCUCCUAAACCACUACAGCCUGAUGAGUGAUGUCCAGUCGGUAGCCAUGCUGUGUAGUGUGUUCAGGACCCAGGGCUGUUCUCAGGUCUGUCUCUG
Molecule: long non-coding RNA, 317 nt
Organism: Coregonus clupeaformis (lake whitefish)
Lineage: Eukaryota; Metazoa; Chordata; Actinopteri; Salmoniformes; Salmonidae
Exons: 4
Source: RefSeq, a predicted model, not a curated record